RNAcentral lists this long non-coding RNA (714 nucleotides) under Anser brachyrhynchus (Pink-footed goose). RNAcentral describes it as "lncRNA (ENSABRG00000000021.1)". The record is from RNAcentral. Lineage: Eukaryota; Metazoa; Chordata; Aves; Anseriformes; Anatidae.
CUGGCAUGCCAAGUGACUGUAGGCAAAGCGUAUGGUAAAAAUUCUGUGCUUUGUCAGCUUAAACUCUCUCUUUCCUUUAAAAUAAUGUUACAACUUUAAUUUAUUAGCACUUUCCUGUUCUCUAGGAAGACUCCUGUGUAUAUGAGUGUCAAUUUCCAGGCUCAGCUCCUGCUGUCCUUCGAAGCUAUGGAGGAGUUUGCUUUAUAAGGAAACAACUUCAGCAGAUGGUUUUCAUCACUGCUUCAAUACAAGCACUGUGACCAGAAGAAGAAGUAACGUGGCCAGGAAAUUUCUACCCCUCGGUCAACUUGGUAGCUGCAGUGGUCCAGCCCAAGGAAUAUAGAGGGAAGAUGCAGCAAAUUUCUUAAAGAUGUUUGGAAUAUGAGGAUGUCAGCCAAGUCUCAGAGAACUUGUUGGGGGCUAGUGGCAGCCCUACCUGCAUUUUCUGAUAAGUUCUCUUUUAGAGGGAUUCCCUUUCUAGAGACCUAAAGAGCUUCUCGUUAAUCAGACACUGCUUCUGGGGACAGCUGGAAAACAGAAGAAAAAGGAGGCCCAUCCACUUAGUGUUCCUCAGUAUGAUCUCAAGACUAAACAACUUGCACAGACUUACAAGGGGAGGCCAGUGUUACAAGUGUCAGCAGUGCACAUGCUCACAAUGUUUCAAGAAUGAAAAACUAAUACAACAGAAAAAUCAGACUCAAAAGAUUUGUAUUC